GACGAACGCUGGCGGCGUGCUUAACACAUGCAAGUCGAGCGGAAAGGCCCUUCGGGGUACCCGAGCGGCGAACGGGUGAGUAACACGUGAGUAACCUGCCCCAGACUUUGGGAUAACCCUCGGAAACGGGGGCUAAUACCGGAUACGACACAGCUUUGCAUGGGGGCUGUGUGGAAAGUUUUUCGGUUUUGGUUGGGCUCGCGGCCUAUCAGCUUGCUGGUGGGGUGAUGGCCUACCAAGGCGACGAUGGGUAGCCGGCCUGUGAGGGCGAGCGGCCACACUGGGACUGAGGCACGGCCCAGACUGCUACGGGAGGCAGCAGUGGGGAAUAUUGCACGAUGGGCGGAAGCCUGAUGCAGCGACGCCGCGUGAGGGAUAACGGCCUUAGGGUUGUAAACCUCUUUCGGCAGGAACGAAGCGUAAGUGACGGUACCUGCAGAAGAAGGGCCGGCCAAAUACGUG
RNAcentral lists this ribosomal RNA (462 nucleotides) under uncultured bacterium. RNAcentral describes it as "partial 16S ribosomal RNA". It matches the Rfam family "Bacterial small subunit ribosomal RNA", at positions 28 to 507 of the family's 1533-position model. The record is from RNAcentral.